RNAcentral lists this ribosomal RNA (465 nucleotides) under Vreelandella stevensii. RNAcentral's name for it is "partial 16S ribosomal RNA". It matches the Rfam family "Bacterial small subunit ribosomal RNA", at positions 338 to 795 of the family's 1533-position model. The record is from RNAcentral. Lineage: Bacteria; Pseudomonadati; Pseudomonadota; Gammaproteobacteria; Oceanospirillales; Halomonadaceae.
CCUACGGGGGGCUGCAGUGGGGAAUAUUGGACAAUGGGGGGAACCCUGAUCCAGCCAUGCCGCGUGUGUGAAGAAGGCCCUCGGGUUGUAAAGCACUUUCAGUGAGGAAGAACGCCUGGUGGUUAAUACCCAUCAGGAAAGACAUCACUCACAGAAGAAGCACCGGCUAACUCCGUGCCAGCAGCCGCGGUAAUACGGAGGGUGUGAGCGUUAAUCGGAAUUACUGGGCGUAAAGCGCGCGUAGGUGGCUUGAUAAGCCGGUUGUGAAAGCCCCGGGCUCAACCUGGGAACGGCAUCCGGAACUGUCAAGCUAGAGUGCAGGAGAGGAAGGUAGAAUUCCCGGUGUAGCGGUGAAAUGCGUAGAGAUCGGGAGGAAUACCAGUGGCGAAGGCGGCCUUCUGGACUGACACUGACACUGAGGUGCGAAAGCGUGGGUAGCAAACAGGAUUAGAUACCCGAGUAGUC